RNAcentral lists this ribosomal RNA (253 nucleotides) under uncultured bacterium. RNAcentral describes it as "partial 16S ribosomal RNA". It matches the Rfam family "Bacterial small subunit ribosomal RNA", at positions 524 to 776 of the family's 1533-position model. The record is from RNAcentral.
GACGGAGGAUGCAAGUGUUAUCCGGAAUCACUGGGCGUAAAGCGUCUGUAGGUGGUUUAAUAAGUCAACUGUUAAAUCUUGAGGCUCAACUUCAAAAUCGCAGUCGAAACUAUUAGACUAGAGUAUAGUAGGGGUAAAGGGAAUUUCCAGUGGAGUGGUGAAAUGCGUAGAUAUUGGAAAGAACACCGACAGCGAAAGCAUUUUACUGGGCUAUUACUGACACUCAGAGACGAAAGCUAGGGUAGCAAAUGGG